Molecule: transfer RNA, 69 nt
Filed under: Presbytis comata comata
Lineage: Eukaryota; Metazoa; Chordata; Mammalia; Primates; Cercopithecidae
Description: tRNA-Val
Rfam family: tRNA
About the family: Transfer RNA (tRNA) molecules are approximately 80 nucleotides in length. Their secondary structure includes four short double-helical elements and three loops (D, anti-codon, and T loops). Further hydrogen bonds mediate the characteristic L-shaped molecular structure. tRNAs have two regions of fundamental functional importance: the anti-codon, which is responsible for specific mRNA codon recognition, and the 3' end, to which the tRNAs corresponding amino acid is attached (by aminoacyl-tRNA synthetases). tRNAs cope with the degeneracy of the genetic code in two manners: having more than one tRNA (with a specific anti-codon) for a particular amino acid; and 'wobble' base-pairing, i.e. permitting non-standard base-pairing at the 3rd anti-codon position.
Source: RNAcentral
CAAGGUAUAGCUCAACUCAAAGCAUCCAGCUUACACCCGGAAGACAUCAACUCCACCUGAUUACCUUGA